UGGGGAAUAUUGGACAAUGGGCGCAAGCCUGAUCCAGCCAUGCCGCGUGAGUGAUGAAGGCCUUCGGGUUGUAAAGCUCUUUUGGCGGGGACGAUGAUGACGGUACCCGCAGAAUAAGCCCCGGCAAACUUCGUGCCAGCAGCCGCGGUAAGACGAAGGGGGCAAGCGUUGUUCGGAAUUACUGGGCGUAAAGGGCGCGUAGGCGGUCCUUUAAGUCAGGCGUGAAAGCCCUGGGCUCAACCUGGGAAUGGCGCUUGAUACUGUAGGACUAGAGAGUGGGAGAGGUUGGUGGAAUUCCCAGUGUAGAGGUGAAAUUCGUAGAUAUUGGGAAGAACACCGGUGGCGAAGGCGGCCAACUGGACCAUUUCUGACGCUGAGGCGCGAAAGCGUGGGGAGCAAACAG
This 403-nucleotide ribosomal RNA is filed under the name uncultured bacterium. RNAcentral's name for it is "bacterial SSU rRNA". It matches the Rfam family "Bacterial small subunit ribosomal RNA", at positions 355 to 775 of the family's 1533-position model. The record is from RNAcentral.